CCUACGGGAGGCAGCAGUGGGGAAUUUUGCGCAAUGCUCGUAAGAGUGACGCAGCGACGCCGCGUGAAUGACGAAGGCCUUCGGGUCGUAAAGUUCUUUCGACAGGGAAGAAAAUGCCUAUAAGUGACUGUGUAUGUAUUGACGGUACCGUUAUAAGCAGCCCCGGCUAACUCCGGGCCAGCAGCCGCGGUAAUACGGAGGGGGAGAGCGUUGUUCGGAGUGACUGGGCGUAAAGGGCACGUAGGCGGUGUUGUAAGUCAUUAGUCAAAGACCAGAGCUCAACUUCAGUAAGGCUAGGGAUACUAUAAAACUAGAGUACCAGAGAGGAAUGUAGAAUUCCUGGUGUAGCGGUGAAAUGCGUAGAUAUAAGGAGGAAUACCGUUAGCGAAGGCGGCAAUCUGGCUGGAAACUGACGCUGAGGUGCGAAAGCGUGGGUAGCAAACAGGAUUAGAUACCCGGGUAGUC
RNAcentral lists this ribosomal RNA (465 nucleotides) under uncultured bacterium. RNAcentral describes it as "partial 16S ribosomal RNA". It matches the Rfam family "Bacterial small subunit ribosomal RNA", at positions 338 to 795 of the family's 1533-position model. The record is from RNAcentral.